This 127-nucleotide small nucleolar RNA is filed under the name Choloepus hoffmanni (Hoffmann's two-fingered sloth). Its description in RNAcentral is "Small nucleolar RNA SNORA70 (ENSCHOG00000015644.1)". It matches the Rfam family "Small nucleolar RNA SNORA70". Rfam says of the family: snoRNA U70 seems to be exclusive to mammals and is a member of the H/ACA class of snoRNA which contain H (ANANNA) and ACA box motifs. H/ACA box snoRNAs are involved in the conversion of uridines to pseudouridines (5-ribosyluracil) a constituent of structural RNAs (transfer, ribosomal, small nuclear, and small nucleolar). Lineage: Eukaryota; Metazoa; Chordata; Mammalia; Pilosa; Megalonychidae. The record is from RNAcentral.
CUGCCUCCAAUUAAGCCGACAUCCUCCUUCCCCAUGGAGUCAUGUUGUGCUGCUGACAGAGCCUCCCUGGCAGUGCACAUAAACCUAUUGCCUAUAUGAGUUGCCUCAAGGGACCUUAGAGACAGCC